CCUACGGGAGGCAACAGUGGGGGAUAUUGCACAAUGGGGGAAACCCUGAUGCAGCGACGCCGCGUGGGUGAAGAAGCGCCUCGGCGCGUAAAGCCCUGUCAGCAGGGAAGAAAAUGACGGUACCUGAAGAAGAAGCCCCGGCUCACUACGUGCCAGCAGCCGCGGUAAUACGUAGGGGGGAAGCGUUAUCCGGAUUUACUGGGUGUAAAGGGGGCGGAGACGGCGAUGCAAGCGAGGAGUGAAAGCCCGGGGACCAACCCCGGGACUGCGCUUGAAACUGCGUGGCUAGAGUGCAGGAGGGGCAGGCGGAAUGCCUGGUGUAGCGGUGAAAUGCGUAGAUAUCAGGAGGAACACCGGUGGCGAAGGCGGCCUGCUGGACUGCAACUGACGUUGAGGCCCGAAAGCGUGGGGAGCAAACAGGAUUAGAUACCCCAGUAGUC
RNAcentral lists this ribosomal RNA (440 nucleotides) under uncultured bacterium. Its description in RNAcentral is "partial 16S ribosomal RNA". It matches the Rfam family "Bacterial small subunit ribosomal RNA", at positions 338 to 795 of the family's 1533-position model. The record is from RNAcentral.